Molecule: ribosomal RNA, 497 nt
Filed under: uncultured bacterium
Lineage: Bacteria
Description: partial 16S ribosomal RNA
Rfam family: Bacterial small subunit ribosomal RNA
Source: RNAcentral
GAUGAACGCUGGCGGCGUGCCUAAUACAUGCAAGUCGAGCGAACACACGAGCAGCUUGCUCCCCGGACGUUGGCGACGGACGGGUGAUUAACACGUGCAUACCCUAUCUUUAAGACUGGGAUAGCUACGGCAAGCUUAAUCUCACACCCGACCUGAUAUUGAACCCCAUGGUCCAAUAGUCCACGAGCGAUUUGCUCUGCCUUAUACGUGUUUGCGCGUCGCAUUAGCUAGUUGGUAGGGUAACGGCUUACCAAGGCGACGAUGCGUAGCCGACCUGAGAGGGCGACCAGCCACACUGGGACUGAGACACGGCCCAGACUCCUACGGGAGGCAGCAGUGGGGAAUUUUGGACAAUGGGGGCAAGCCUGACGGAGCCAUGCCGCGUGAGUGAAGAAGGCCUUCGGGUCGUAAAACGCUUUUGUUCGGGAAGAACUAAUGUGGGCGAAAAUCCCGGCGGGAUGACGGUACCGAAAGAAUAAGCAACGGCUAACUACGUG